RNAcentral lists this long non-coding RNA (546 nucleotides) under Parus major (Great Tit). RNAcentral describes it as "lncRNA (ENSPMJG00000017354.1)". The record is from RNAcentral. Lineage: Eukaryota; Metazoa; Chordata; Aves; Passeriformes; Paridae.
GCAGGGAAAGGCUGAGGGACCGAUGGGAAGGCAUGAAUGAAUGAAUCUCCAUAAAGAGCCCCAAGCAGCAGGGAGAGGGAGAGAGGAGGAGGAAGGAGAGGAGGAGGAAGAGCCGGAGCAGGGCAGGCAGCAGCAGACGUGACGCCGGCAGCUUCAACUAUGAUCAGUGCAUAAAUCUACCUGCAACACAGGAUGUCGGAAAAUUACCGAGAGACAGCAACGUCCUCCCUGCUGCUUGGUGAGAAAAGAAGGAUGCACCUUCAGCUUAAAAACCGGGCUUGGUGAGCACCUCGUGGGAUCCCGAAUGCCGUGUCCAGCGUGCCUCCCAGCCCCUGAGGACAGCAGCUAGGAGACAUCCCGGGCUGUGCCUGGAGCCAGCAGCAGCACACAGGCUCAGAGGUGAGCCGGGAGACCAAGCGGGGACAGCCGAACACACGGAAGCACAGGGAGAUGGGGACCAGCGCCACAAUGUGCAGCAAAAAGAAAACAAGGAGAAGUACUAUAAAAAAUGAGAGGAAGGCUUAUCUCUAAGCCUGAACAACUCCU